Molecule: ribosomal RNA, 484 nt
Filed under: uncultured bacterium
Lineage: Bacteria
Description: partial 16S ribosomal RNA
Rfam family: Bacterial small subunit ribosomal RNA
Source: RNAcentral
AUUGAACGCUGGCGGCAUGCUUUACACAUGCCAGUCGAACGGCAGCGCGGGCUUCGGCCUGGCGGCGAGUGGCGAACGGGUGAGUAAUGCAUCGGAACGUGCCCAGUAGUGGGGGAUAGCCCGGCGAAAGCCGGAUUAAUACCGCAUACGACCUGAGGGUGAAAGCGGGGGACCGAAAGGCCUCGCGCUAUUGGAGCGGCCGAUGUCGGAUUAGCUAGUUGGUGGGGUAAAGGCUUACCAAGGCGACGAUCCGUAGCUGGUCUGAGAGGACGACCAGCCACCAUGGGACUUAGACACGGCCCAGACUCCUAAGGGAGGCAGCAGUUGGGAAUUUUGGACAAUGGGGGCCACCCUGAUCCAGCCAUGGCGGGUGCGGGAAGAAGGCCUUCGGGUUGUAAACCGCUUUUGGUCGGGAAGAAAUCCUCUGGGCUAAUACCCCGGGGGGAUGACGGUACCGGAAGAAUAAGCACCGGCUAACUACGUG